AGAACGAACGCUGGCGGCAUGCCUAACACAUGCAAGUCGAACGCUUUGCCGGUUUCGGCCGGCAAGGAGUGGCGCACGGGUGAGUAGCGCGUGGGAACCUGCCCUGUUGUGGGGGAUAACCGAGGGAAACUUCGGCUAAUACCGCAUGCGCCCCCGGGCCUGGUCUUCGGAUUAGGUUUGGGGGGAAAGAUUUAUCGCAGCAGGAGGGGCCCGCGUCGGAUUAGCUAGUUGGCGGGGUAACGGCCCACCAAGGCAGUGAUCCGUAGCUGGUCUGAGAGGAUGAUCAGCCACACUGGGACUGAGACACGGCCCAGACUCCUACGGGAGGCAGCAGUGGGGAAUAUUGGACAAUGGGCGCAAGCCUGAUCCAGCAAUGCCGCGUGAGUGAUGAAGGCCUUAGGGUUGUAAAGCUCUUUCGCCCGCGACGAUGAUGACGGUAGCGGAGAAGAAGCCCGGCUAACUUCGCGCCAGCAGCCGCGGU
This 481-nucleotide ribosomal RNA is filed under the name uncultured bacterium. RNAcentral describes it as "SSU rRNA". It matches the Rfam family "Bacterial small subunit ribosomal RNA", at positions 26 to 521 of the family's 1533-position model. The record is from RNAcentral.